RNAcentral lists this ribosomal RNA (442 nucleotides) under uncultured bacterium. Its description in RNAcentral is "bacterial SSU rRNA". It matches the Rfam family "Bacterial small subunit ribosomal RNA", at positions 354 to 796 of the family's 1533-position model. The record is from RNAcentral.
GUGGGGAAUAUUGCACAAUGGGCGCAAGCCUGAUGCAGCGACGCCGCGUGGGGGAUGACGGCCUUCGGGUUGUAAACCUCUUUCACCAUCGACGAAGGUCCGGGUUUUCUCGGAUUGACGGUAGGUGGAGAAGAAGCACCGGCCAACUACGUGCCAGCAGCCGCGGUAAUACGUAGGGUGCGAGCGUUGUCCGGAAUUACUGGGCGUAAAGAGCUCGUAGGUGGUUUGUCGCGUUGUUCGUGAAAUCUCACGGCUUAACUGUGAGCGUGCGGGCGAUACGGGCAGACUGGAGUACUGCAGGGGAGACUGGAAUUCCUGGUGUAGCGGUGGAAUGCGCAGAUAUCAGGAGGAACACCGGUGGCGAAGGCGGGUCUCUGGGCAGUAACUGACGCUGAGGAGCGAAAGCGUGGGGAGCGAACAGGAUUAGAAACCCCAGUAGUCC